ACAAUUUCAUUAAAUAAAACACUAAACAAAUUGUCUAAACAUAUCAACUACAAUCUUAUUCCAAAUUAGAGAUUCUUAAUGUAAUAUUAUCUCUCUUUACUUACAUAAUUAAACCAUUACUAUUAGAUCCACCCCAAUGUACAACUUGACACAGAUAAAUAGAAAAUAUAAUGCAACCAUGCCCAACAAAAGAUAUGAGAAUUUGAACCUCUUAACGCCAGGAAGUACACUUUUUGUCCUCUUCAUCUUUAAAACCCCAAAAUACAGAAAGGAAUCCUCUUUAAGCACCAAAAGUCACUCCAACCCAUUUAACAUAAACCGAUAAUAAUAAUAUUAGAAAUGAAAUUCAAUCAAACAAACUUGUAUUGUAAAGAAAACCCUCAAAUACAAUAUCAUUACUCACACGGAUUUAACACAAACAAGUCCUAAAGCUUCAACAAAAAAUGGAUUUGAUAUAAAAGCAUAACAAGUACAGAAACCUUCAAGGGGCAAAUAAGAUCAAGUUACUUACAAUCAUUAACACUGGGCAAUUCAAUAGUAAAACAAUCUGAAACCCAGAAAUCAAAAUACCAUCUUUUGAUAAAUGACCAAAUUAAAAUGGCAUUACUCAACCUCUAAUUCUCCAGCAAUUCACCAACCCAUUAAAGAUUCAAACGCAACCCAAAUGAGACAUGGGUAUUUACGAACAAGCAAAAGAUGUCUGGUUGGUUCCCUGAAAAGUAUACAUACACCCAUUGGCAUGUUAUAUAUAUAUAUAUAUAUACAAGCAAAAAUGGUAAUGUUGAAAUGAACCUUGCAGCUCCUAUUUAGUUCAGAUAUAAUAUACUGCUAGGUUGAAGUAGUGCCGUUCACAGAUUAAAAUUAGGAGAUGCUUAAAGCAUAACAUAAUAUAAUAACAGACCAAUAGUGAAGAGCCAUUUGCCAAAUGAUACCACACAAUAUCAAAAAGCUAAUUUUCACUUCUCAAUUUCACCAGAAUUUAGACAUGAUAAUUCAAACUUUCUCUAGUAUGGUAAAGGUGCAAAAUUUACAUUUCAUGCAGAAACCAUGCAUCUUAAUCCUCUAUCUGCGACAAGAAAUUGGAUACCCAUUUGGAAAAAUUGCUUAUAACGAUUAACAUAAUACACACUAAAAUUAAGCUGCUCACAUAUUCCUAAUUAAGCACAACCCAGUACACAACAAUUCAUUCAAUCAAUCAAACAAACCACAUAAAUUAACAUAAAAUGGAAUUGAAUCUCUGAAACUACAGUCAAAAUUAAAGAGAUAAAUCAAACAUACAUAAUACACACAUAUACAUAUCAGGUCUAGGGUUUGGUACCUAACCGCAAUCGAAGGAGUAGCAGCAAUCCAAGGAGUAGCAGGAGUAACAGCCACGGAGGGAAGAAGGGAGAAGCCAAGAAAUUGAUGGAUCGAGGGCAGCGAGAGAGAGCAGAGAGCUUCAAUUUUAGCCGCGUACUGUUUACGUUGGAAGAGCAAGAUCAGGCUUUUUAAG
Molecule: long non-coding RNA, 1492 nt
Filed under: Panax ginseng (ginseng)
Lineage: Eukaryota; Viridiplantae; Streptophyta; Magnoliopsida; Apiales; Araliaceae
Description: long non-coding RNA (PGIN_LNC010205)
Source: RNAcentral